AUACGGAGGGUGCAAGCGUUAAUCGGAAUUACUGGGCGUAAAGCGCACGCAGGCGGUUUGUUAAGUCAGAUGUGAAAUCCCCGGGCUCAACCUGGGAACUGCAUCUGAUACUGGCAAGCUUGAGUCUCGUAGAGGGGGGUAGAAUUCCAGGUGUAGCGGUGAAAUGUGUAGAGAUCUGGAGGAAUACCGGUGGCGAAGGCGGCCCCCUGGACGAAGACUGACGCUCAGGUGCGAAAGCGUGGGGAGCAAACAGGAUUAGAUACCCUGGUAGUCCACGCCGUAAACGAUGUCGACUUGGAGGUUGUGCCCUUGAGGCGUGGCUUCCGGAGCUAACGCGUUAAGUCGACCGCCUGGGGAGUACGGCCGCAAGGUUAAA
This 376-nucleotide ribosomal RNA is filed under the name uncultured bacterium. Its description in RNAcentral is "bacterial SSU rRNA". It matches the Rfam family "Bacterial small subunit ribosomal RNA", at positions 523 to 898 of the family's 1533-position model. The record is from RNAcentral.